This 368-nucleotide ribosomal RNA is filed under the name uncultured bacterium. RNAcentral describes it as "partial 16S ribosomal RNA". It matches the Rfam family "Bacterial small subunit ribosomal RNA", at positions 523 to 893 of the family's 1533-position model. The record is from RNAcentral.
AUACGGAGGAUGCAAGCGUUAUCCGGAUUUAUUGGGUUUAAAGGGUGCGUAGGCGGUUUGCUAAGCGGGAGGUGAAAUGCCGGCGCUCAACGUCGGAAGUGCCUCCCGAACUGGUGGACUGGAAUGACUCUGCCGUGGGAGGAAUGUGUAGUGUAGCGGUGAAAUGCUUAGAGAUUACACAGAACACCGAUUGCGAAGGCAUCUCACGAAGGGUUGAUUGACGCUGAGGCACGAAAGCGUGGGGAUCAAACAGGAUUAGAUACCCUGGUAGUCCACGCAGUAAACGAUGAUGGCUAACCGCUGGUUUUUUCGGAUCAGUGGCCAAGCGAAAGCGAUAAGCCAUCCACCUGGGGAGUACGACCGCAAGG